Long non-coding RNA from Oncorhynchus tshawytscha (Chinook salmon), 1498 nucleotides. The record is from Ensembl. Lineage: Eukaryota; Metazoa; Chordata; Actinopteri; Salmoniformes; Salmonidae.
CAGCCUUUAGCCGUGGUACAUAGGCCAUAUACCACUAACCCCCAAAGUGCCUUAUUGCUUUUACAAACCGGUUGCCAACACAGUAAGGCAAGAAACUACACAUCUUUAUUGAAAAUGUUGCUUUAAUAAAUACAUUCACAAUAAAUACAUACUGCCAGAAAAAGUAGUCCGGACGAAAGUCUCAACGCUAAACGGGUUGCUAUGCAACAUAACCACAGGCUAGAUGGCAAGCUUACAUUAAAUGUAUGCAAAAACCGAGCAUUAGCGCCCCUUUAUAGAAUGACUAACACAUGACAAUUAAUUAUUAACGUUGAUCUGAAUGUUGUCAUUUAUUGUGCACAAAUGAAAAAAAUGGUUCCAUGUUUGUUGGCUCCACGCUACUUAUAAAUGGAUGACGUGGUAGUUGUUUGUGUACAUCUAUGACGAGCCAGCUAUUUUUCAUGGUUUUGGCAGCAUUGUUACGAGGGUGUUCACUCCUAUCGGUUCUUGACAUGUGUACCUUGAAACACAGGGGAAAACAACGUUAGCUAAUAGUUAGGACUACAAAACGACCGGUUAUAUUGUCAGGGUACAUUUAGAAUGAUGUAACUAGCUAACUAACAGUUACAUAUCAUACGUAUCCAUUCACUGCUUUGUCGCACCCCUCUUCCUCAACUUUUUAAUUACGCUGAGAGACGACACAUUGUUGCGCGUUGUGAUUUCGGUGUCCUGUAUAUUCCAUGCCAGACUGAGAGGGGUCAUUGAUAUGUCGGUUCAAAUCCAGCGGCAGUUUAGCUGCUAAUCCCAUUUUUUUCGCCAUUCAUGUUUCUCAUUUAACCAUAAAAGUCCCAUAAAAUGACUUUCAGCUCCAUUUUGGUUGUAUUCACAAACUCAAUGUAUCCCUUGUUCGGCGCACCAGUCAGUGAAGCGGUUCAGAUGAGGACAAGGAGUCAUCCUCCAGUGAAGAUGAGAGGACGAUCGGGACAGACCUGACAUCCUGGUACCUGGUCACAUCCAGCUGUGACCUGUCAAUCAAGGCAGGUGGGGCGGAGCUCCACCUGUUUUGAGGGAGGCCCAACAUGUUUUGCAUGUUAUUCUGACAUUAAUAUCUGUCACAUAUCAGUUUUUAAAAAAAAUGUGAAUAAAAUAAUUUACUUAGUAAAGCCACAUACAAACUUGGUCUCUUUUUUGCUUUCUUGAGUAAGGCAGCUCCAAAAUGCAGGUGUUUCAGCCUAGUUCAGUGCUUUUUGUGGUGGUGGGGCAGCCAGCGGAAAAUGCGGAGCGAAGGGGUUGGUAAUGUUCUCCAGUUGCGCCGUGAUUGGGGAAUGUUCUCCAGUUGCACCGUGAUUGGCUCAGUGUUCUGUCUCAUGGGGACACGACAUCACCGCAAAAUCUAAGUACCCAUCCAAGUAGGCUCAAGGUUAUUGGCCACAGAUACAAUGACGUAAAAUUACAUUAUAUCUACAGUAGCGUGGUUUUCCUAUAGGAGGAAGCAGAAUGCAGAGUACCUUUAAUUUAU